UCAAGCAAUAAGGGCACAGGGCGGAUGCCUUGGCACUAAGAGCCGAAGAAAGACGUGAUAAGCUGCGAUAAGCUUCGGGGAGGAGCAAAUAUCCUUUGAUCCGGAGAUCUCUGAAUGGGGAAACCCGGCUGUAUGGACUACAGUCAUCCAUAAGUGAAUCCAUAGCUUAUGGAAGGGAACCCGGGGAACUGAAACAUCUAAGUACCCGGAGGAAGAGAAAGAAACAUCGAUUCCGUAAGUAGCGGCGAGCGAACGCGGAAGAGCCCAAACCGUGAUGCGUGCAUCGCGGGGUUCGGACUGCAGAAGGGAUUCAGCAACGACAGGAGAACGGCUUUGGAACAGCCGGCCAGAGAGGGUGAGAGCCCCGUAUCCAAAGUCAGAGCUGACCUGGCAGGAUCCAGAGUACCACGGGACACGGGAAACCCUGUGGGAACGAGCGGAGACCACUCCGUAAGGCUAAAUACUACUCAGUGACCGAUAGCGUAUAGUACUGUGAAGGAAAGGUGAAAAGAACCCCGGGAGGGGAGUGAAAGAGAACCUGAAACCCUGUGUCUACAAGCUGUGGAAGUACUUCUUAGGUACGACCGCGUACUUUUUGUAGAACGGUCCGGCGAGCUGCGGGUACUGGCAAGGUUAAGUACUUAAGGUACGGAGCCGUAGGGAAACCAAGUCUUAAUAGGGCGAAUCAGUCAGUACGUGCAGGCCCGAAACCGGGUGACCUAUCCAUGUCCAGGUUGAAGCCGCCGUAAAAGGCGAUGGAGGACCGAACCCACAUCCGUUGAAAAGGGUGGGGAUGAGGUGUGGAUAGCGGAGAAAUUCCAAUCGAACCCGGAGAUAGCUGGUUCUCCUCGAAAUAGCUUUAGGGCUAGCCUCAUACAAGUCUGCCGGAGGUAGAGCACUGAAUUUCCGCGGGGGCGUCAAAGCCUACCAAAGAAUAUCAAACUCCGAAUGCCGGACAGAUGGUGUAUGGGAGUCAGACUGUACGAGAUAAGUUGGACAGUCAAAAGGGAAAGAGCCCAGACCGCCGGCUAAGGUCCCAAAGUGGGUGUUAAGUGGAAAAGGAUGUGGGAUCUCUAAGACAACCAGGAUGUUGGCUCAGAAGCAGCCAUUCAUUAAAAGAGUGCGUAACAGCUCACUGGUCGAGAGGUCCUGCGCCGAAAAUGUCCGGGGCUGAAACACCACACCGAAGCCGCGGAACUCGUAAGAGUUGGUAGAGGAGCAUUCUUAGGGGAGGGAAGCAUUACCGGAAGGGGAUGUGGACUGCUAAGAAGAGAGAAUGCCGGAAUGAGUAGCGAGAGCAAGGUGGGAAUCCUUGCGGCCGAAUAUCCAAGGUUUCCAGAGUAAAGCUGAUCUGCUCUGGGUAAGUCGGGGCCUAAGGAGAGGCAGAGAUGCGUAUCCGAUGGACAGCAGGUAAAAGAUUCCUGCACCCCUUGUUAUCAGAACUGCGGGGACACGGGAAGGGAAGCAGAGCCGGGAAUGGAAAGCCCGGUGCAAGCGAAGUAGUCGCAGGAUUGGAAAAUCCGUCCUGCAUAAGACGAAGGCGUGAUGCGGAGCGAAACAAAGUAGCGAAGCUGCGGCCCCUUCCUGUCGAGAAAAGCCGCUAUCGUGUAGCAAGGGCCCGUACCGUAAACCGACACAGGUGGAUGAGGAGAGGAUCCUAAGGCCGGCGGGAGAAGUGUUGUUAAGGAACUCGGCAAAAUGACUCCGUAACUUCGGGAGAAGGAGUGCUGCGCAAGCAGCCGCAGAGAAAUGGCCCAAGCAACUGUUUAGCAAAAACACAGGUCUAUGCGAAACCGAAAGGUGAGGUAUAUGGGCUGACGCCUGCCCGGUGCUGGAAGGUUAAGAGGAGAUGUCAGGAAACGAAGCAUUGAAUUUAAGCCCCAGUAAACGGCGGCCGUAACUAUAACGGUCCUAAGGUAGCGAAAUUCCUUGUCGGGUAAGUUCCGACCC
Molecule: ribosomal RNA, 1950 nt
Filed under: human gut metagenome
Description: bacterial LSU rRNA
Rfam family: Bacterial large subunit ribosomal RNA
Source: RNAcentral